RNAcentral lists this ribosomal RNA (509 nucleotides) under Haemophilus influenzae. RNAcentral describes it as "bacterial LSU rRNA". It matches the Rfam family "Bacterial large subunit ribosomal RNA", at positions 433 to 844 of the family's 2925-position model. Lineage: Bacteria; Pseudomonadati; Pseudomonadota; Gammaproteobacteria; Pasteurellales; Pasteurellaceae. The record is from RNAcentral.
CCUGUUUGAAGAAGGGGGGACCAUCCUCCAAGGCUAAAUACUCCUGAUUGACCGAUAGUGAACCAGUACUGUGAAGGAAAGGCGAAAAGAACCCCGGUGAGGGGAGUGAAAUAGAACCUGAAACCUUGUACGUACAAGCAGUGGGAGCCCCAUCACUUAAUCCGAUUGGAAGGUGAUGAAAAGCAACCGCACUUAAACAAUGGUAAGAGGAGCGAAGCGAGUCAAACCACCCAAAAGAAGCAGUGGGAUUAAGUGAUGGGGUGACUGCGUACCUUUUGUAUAAUGGGUCAGCGACUUAUAUUUUGUAGCGAGGUUAACCGAAUAGGGGAGCCGAAGGGAAACCGAGUCUUAACUGGGCGAAUAGUUGCAAGGUAUAGACCCGAAACCCGGUGAUCUAGCCAUGGGCAGGUUGAAGGUUGGGUAACACUAACUGGAGGACCGAACCGACUAAUGUUGAAAAAUUAGCGGAUGACUUGUGGCUGGGGGUGAAAGGCCAAUCAAACCGGGAG